GGGGGGCAUGCCUGUCCGAGCCUUCAUU
RNAcentral lists this ribosomal RNA (28 nucleotides) under Aspergillus wentii. Its description in RNAcentral is "partial 5.8S ribosomal RNA". The record is from RNAcentral. Lineage: Eukaryota; Fungi; Ascomycota; Eurotiomycetes; Eurotiales; Aspergillaceae.